GCUAGUGUAGCUUAACUUAAAGCAUGGCACUGAAGAUGCCAAGACAAGAAUUAACUUUUUUCACCAGCA
This 69-nucleotide transfer RNA is filed under the name Pateobatis jenkinsii (Jenkins' whipray). RNAcentral describes it as "tRNA-Phe". It matches the Rfam family "tRNA". From Rfam's summary of the family: Transfer RNA (tRNA) molecules are approximately 80 nucleotides in length. Their secondary structure includes four short double-helical elements and three loops (D, anti-codon, and T loops). Further hydrogen bonds mediate the characteristic L-shaped molecular structure. tRNAs have two regions of fundamental functional importance: the anti-codon, which is responsible for specific mRNA codon recognition, and the 3' end, to which the tRNAs corresponding amino acid is attached (by aminoacyl-tRNA synthetases). tRNAs cope with the degeneracy of the genetic code in two manners: having more than one tRNA (with a specific anti-codon) for a particular amino acid; and 'wobble' base-pairing, i.e. permitting non-standard base-pairing at the 3rd anti-codon position. The record is from RNAcentral. Lineage: Eukaryota; Metazoa; Chordata; Chondrichthyes; Myliobatiformes; Dasyatidae.